Molecule: long non-coding RNA, 953 nt
Organism: Physeter macrocephalus (sperm whale)
Lineage: Eukaryota; Metazoa; Chordata; Mammalia; Artiodactyla; Physeteridae
Exons: 4
Source: RefSeq, a predicted model, not a curated record
GAAAUCACCAGAGCCCUGGGGCCUGCAGGACAGUCUGCUUUGACUUAAAGGUGAGGGCCAGGUCUGGCUUGUUGAUCCUUGAUUCCUCAAUGCCUGGCAUGAUGCCUUGUGGGCAAGCAGCUCCUGUCCAGCAGCCCCUCUCCCAGGACGCCAGCUUUCACCUGGAUGCCACCACCUCUUCCCCUGCCUCUGCAGGUCAGGCCUUUCUCCCACACUGGACUGAAAACUCCUCAAAGGCAAAGAUUUGGGUUUUGGCCAUUUCUGGAUCCUGCCGUUUCUCACAGGCUGCCGGGCACAGAGGAAGCCCUUGAAUGGAUUCAUGUGAAGAAGGAAUGAAGGUUUCUCCCACAAAUGAACCCAUAGGCCAACCUUUCUAAAAUCCACCCCCUUCCGAGCUGGUGAAACCACGUCAGAAUCCCGUAGCCAGGCCCUGAAGGCUAAAAAGUACUUGACACUGAUGAUGCCGGAAGAUGACUAAGCUGCUGAUUCAAGAAAACCAACUUCCUCUUCCAAGACGGUUGCCUAAUCUAUUCUCAAGUUGUUUUGGCCAGACACAUCCUGGCCUCAUGCUUGCCUGCCACCUUUGCCUGCUUCUUCAAGGGCUGCCAGUUUCACUCAAACAGCUUUCUCGUUCUUGUACCCUUUUGUUCUGUUGCUGUCUCAGAUGUUAUCCAAAUGGUCCGUUCUAACCCCUUCACACCUGGAUCAGGAAACCCUCACCACACAAAGCCAACAUUGUGGACCACAUCCUCCCAUCCCCAAACCAGGGUACAGUCAUUUGAAACCUGGGGUGUCCCAGGAAACCUGGGAUAAAUACUCAUCCUAUCUAUAGAACCAACACUAAACCUUGAUCCGUUUUUAAUGUAAAUGGUCUUAAUAACCACAAACAUAUGGGGGAGAAAAACAGUGAGCAAAGCUUAACUGUUUUGUUGACUAAUUGACUGUAGUUUUCA